GAGGAUGUGCCAGGGGCUGUUGUGCGCUGCUAACGUAUAAGUAGGGGAUUCGAAUUCUUCUUGUUCUUU
Molecule: transfer RNA, 69 nt
Filed under: Cephalodiscus hodgsoni
Lineage: Eukaryota; Metazoa; Hemichordata; Pterobranchia; Cephalodiscida; Cephalodiscidae
Description: tRNA-Ser
Source: RNAcentral